AAAUAGUACAACCAUCAGUUUUCACGUUUAAGUUUUGAUCGUCCGUCUUUUUUAAAAUAAAAUUAUAAUUAGCAUUUUUAUUGUUAUGAGAUGAUAAAACAUGAAUAAUACUUUAUUCGUGACUUAUGUUUUUAAUUUUUUUAAAAAUAUUUUUAAAUAAGACGCACAGUCAAAGUUAGGUACGGAAAAUUAUGACUGCACUUAUU
Molecule: non-coding RNA, 206 nt
Organism: Oryza barthii
Lineage: Eukaryota; Viridiplantae; Streptophyta; Magnoliopsida; Poales; Poaceae
Source: Rfam